Molecule: long non-coding RNA, 233 nt
Organism: Gopherus evgoodei (Goodes thornscrub tortoise)
Lineage: Eukaryota; Metazoa; Chordata; Testudines; Testudinidae
Exons: 3
Source: RefSeq, a predicted model, not a curated record
AGAUAAACAUCAAGAAACUAAAGCUCUUCCUGGAGAGGAUUUAUCUGGACAGGAAUGCUGCGUGAAUGGUGCAAACGGCAACAUGUUCUGUGAUCAGUGGCCCAAAUUCUGAUUUACCUAGAGUGGCUGGGUGACUUUUCCAGCAUCUAUCCGUACACAAUUCACAUACCCUGAAGGUGGAACGGACUAUGCCAGUGCUGGAAAAGAAGGUGGUUGAAGAAAUUUCUGAAUGG